Molecule: ribosomal RNA, 431 nt
Filed under: uncultured bacterium
Lineage: Bacteria
Description: partial 16S ribosomal RNA
Rfam family: Bacterial small subunit ribosomal RNA
Source: RNAcentral
AACGAACGCUGGCGGCAGGCUUAACACAUGCAAGUCGAGCGCCCCGCCAGGGGAGCGGCAGACGGGUGAGUAACGCGUGGGAACGUACCUUUUGGUUCGGAACAACUCCGGGAAACUGGAGCUAAUACCGGAUAAGCCCUAACGGGGAAAGAUUUAUCGCCGAAAGAUCGGCCCGCGUCUGAUUAGCUAGUUGGUGAGGUAACGGCUCACCAAGGCGACGAUCAGUAGCUGGUCUGAGAGGAUGAUCAGCCACACUGGAACUGAGACACGGCCCAGACUCCUACGGGAGGCAGCAGUGGGGAAUAUUGGACAAUGGGCGCAAGCCUGAUCCAGCCAUGCCGCGUGAGUGAUGAAGGCCUUAGGGUUGUAAAGCUCUUUUGUCCGGGAAGAUAAUGACUGUACCGGAAGAAUAAGCCCCGGCUAACUUCGUG